GAAGUAAUCACGCUAAGUGUAUAUAAUCCCGGACAAGGUUUGGAUUAAGCACCAUAUUGUAAAGUUUAGAUAACUUCAUCACAGUAAAGCAAAAUGCGUACUGCUUAUAUGCUCGUGGUUCUCUGCCUCUUGGCCAGUGUAAUUGUGGCUGACGCAGCAUCGGCUAGGGGCUUUCGGUCAGUCAACGCCUACAAUGGUCUAAAGAAAAAGGACAACGCAGAGUCUAAUGUGGAGAAGAGGAAAACAAAACGUGGCUUCUGGGGAACCCUCGGCACAGUAGCUGCAGUGGCCCUGCUUGGUCGCUGAGAUCAAUAGAUCGAUAACUAAACAGACCCAGCCUUAAACUAGUUUUGACUUUAUGGUAAUUUAUUACCAUAAAAUACGUUAAUGAAAAGUAUAUUUUAUUUUGUCAAGAUGAGAAAUAGAUGUUUUAUGAUUAAAUAAUAAAAGAUCACAAAAAAGGUAA
Physella acuta is the source of this 466-nucleotide long non-coding RNA. RefSeq lists it as uncharacterized. Lineage: Eukaryota; Metazoa; Mollusca; Gastropoda; Physidae. The record is from RefSeq and is a predicted model, not a curated record.